This 37-nucleotide ribosomal RNA is filed under the name Herpolirion novae-zelandiae. RNAcentral describes it as "partial 26S ribosomal RNA". Lineage: Eukaryota; Viridiplantae; Streptophyta; Magnoliopsida; Asparagales; Asphodelaceae. The record is from RNAcentral.
GCGACCUCAGGUCAGGCGGGGCCACCCGCUGAGUUUA